CAAUAGCGUAUAUUAAAGUUGUUGCAGUUAGAACGCUCGUAGUCGGAUUUCGGGGCGUUCCGACCGGUCUGCCGAUGGGUAUGCACUGGCCGGAGUGUCCUUUUUGCCGGAGACCGUGCCUACUCUUAACUGAGCGGGGGCGGGAGACGGCACUUUUACUUUGAAAAAAUCAGAGUGUUUCAAGCAGGCAGCUCGCUCUUGCAUGGAUUAGCAUGGGAUAAUGAAAUAGGACUUUGGUGCUAUUUUGUUGGUUUCGAACACCGAAGUAAUGAUGAGAAGGGACAGUCAGGGGCACUCGUAUUCCGCAGAGAGAGGUGAAAUUCUCAGACCCGCGGAAGACGAGCCACUGCGAAAGCAUUUGCCAGGGAUGUUUNCACUGA
RNAcentral lists this ribosomal RNA (380 nucleotides) under uncultured eukaryote. Its description in RNAcentral is "partial 18S ribosomal RNA". It matches the Rfam family "Eukaryotic small subunit ribosomal RNA", at positions 592 to 976 of the family's 1831-position model. The record is from RNAcentral.